Molecule: ribosomal RNA, 471 nt
Filed under: uncultured organism
Description: partial 16S ribosomal RNA
Rfam family: Bacterial small subunit ribosomal RNA
Source: RNAcentral
CACUCCUGCGGGAGGCAGCAGUGGGGAAUAUUGCACAAUGGGCGCAAGCCUGAUGCAGCCAUGCCGCGUGUGUGAAGAAGGCCUUCGGGUUGUAAAGCACUUUCAGCGGGGAGGAAGGCGAUACGGUUAAUAACCGUGUUGAUUGACGUUACCCGCAGAAGAAGCACCGGCUAACUCCGUGCCAGCAGCCGCGGUAAUACGGAGGGUGCAAGCGUUAAUCGGAAUUACUGGGCGUAAAGCGCACGCAGGCGGUCUGUCAAGUCGGAUGUGAAAUCCCCGGGCUCAACCUGGGAACUGCAUUCGAAACUGGCAGGCUUGAGUCUUGUAGAGGGGGGUAGAAUUCCAGGUGUAGCGGUGAAAUGCGUAGAGAUCUGGAGGAAUACCGGUGGCGAAGGCGGCCCCCUGGACAAAGACUGACGCUCAGGUGCGAAAGCGUGGGGAGCAAACAGGAUUAGAUACCCCUGUAGUCCC